GGGGAAUUAGCUCAAGUGGUGGAGCGCUCGCUAAGCAUAUGAGAGGUACAGGGAUCGAUACCCUGAUUCUCCA
RNAcentral lists this transfer RNA (73 nucleotides) under Dreissena polymorpha. RNAcentral describes it as "tRNA-Ala". Lineage: Eukaryota; Metazoa; Mollusca; Bivalvia; Myida; Dreissenidae. The record is from RNAcentral.